RNAcentral lists this antisense RNA (81 nucleotides) under Citrobacter werkmanii. RNAcentral describes it as "antisense RNA of dnaA mRNA". It matches the Rfam family "antisense RNA of dnaA mRNA". The record is from RNAcentral. Lineage: Bacteria; Pseudomonadati; Pseudomonadota; Gammaproteobacteria; Enterobacterales; Enterobacteriaceae.
UUUCGCGUUCGGUUUACGCGCCAUAAUGCCGUUACCGACAGCAUGCAACAGGUGGGUUUUACCCAGACCCGUACCACCAUA